This 744-nucleotide ribosomal RNA is filed under the name uncultured Sphingomonas sp. RNAcentral describes it as "bacterial SSU rRNA". It matches the Rfam family "Bacterial small subunit ribosomal RNA", at positions 8 to 796 of the family's 1533-position model. The record is from RNAcentral. Lineage: Bacteria; Pseudomonadati; Pseudomonadota; Alphaproteobacteria; Sphingomonadales; Sphingomonadaceae.
AGAGUUUGAUCCUGGCUCAGAACGAACGCUGGCGGCAUGCCUAACACAUGCAAGUCGAACGAGACCUUCGGGUCUAGUGGCGCACGGGUGCGUAACGCGUGGGAAUCUGCCCUUGGGUUCGGGAUAACAGUUGGAAACGACUGCUAAUACCGGAUAAUGACUUCGGUCCAAAGAUUUAUCGCCCAGGGACGAGCCCGCGUAAGAUUAGCUUGUUGGUGAGGUAAAGGCUCACCAAGGCUACGAUCUUUAGCUGGUCUGAGAGGAUGAUCAGCCACACUGGGACUGAGACACGGCCCAGACUCCUACGGGAGGCAGCAGUGGGGAAUAUUGGACAAUGGGCGCAAGCCUGAUCCAGCCAUGCCGCGUGAGUGAUGAAGGCCUUAGGGUUGUAAAGCUCUUUCGGCGGGGACGAUAAUGACGGUACCCCCUGAAUAAGCCCCGGCUAACUACGUGCCAGCAGCCGCGGUAAUACGUAGGGGGCGAGCGUUGUCCGAAGUUACUGGGCGUAAAGCGCGCGUAGGCGGGUCUUUAAGGCUGGUGUGAAAGGUUCAGGGCUCAACCCGAACAGGGCACUGGCGACUGGGGACCUUGAGUGGGGGAGAGGGAAGCGGAAUUCCGGGUGUAGCGGUGAAAUGCGUAGAUAUCCGGAGGAACACCGAUGGCGAAGGCAGCUUCCUGGCCUCUUAACUGACGCUGAGGUGCGAAAGCGUGGGGAGCGAACGGGAUUAGAUACCCCCGUAGUCC